UACUUAUGGUAUCUGGCCUCCAAUCU
This 26-nucleotide non-coding RNA is filed under the name Rattus norvegicus (Norway rat). Lineage: Eukaryota; Metazoa; Chordata; Mammalia; Rodentia; Muridae. The record is from RNAcentral.